CUUUGUCCUCUGUUUCAUGCAGCAACAGCGGCGGCGCAUGCUGCUCCUUCCCUGCCAGAGGGCCUCACUGGACGCACUAUUGCCAAUGGCCAAAGCGGGGCUAGCCUCUCCCAGCGUCUAAGUGAGCGCCUUUAUGCUGCCUAAUUUUUCCAUACACAGUCAAUAUGUCAUUCGUAGAUAAGAUAAAAACCAAAUAAUUUGUAUUGUCAAUGCAUUACAUAACGUGGGUUUCCCAGAGUUAUAAUGCAAAGCCACUGGCUGUUUCCUGCCACUAACAUUCAAGAAAAGGGAAGCACUGGCCUGUUUGUUUAUUUGAACUGGCGUGUUACUGUUUUUCGGCCAGGUACCUGGAAAACUCUCAACCUAUACUUAUCAGUUACCACAUUCCAAAAAAGUAUCUAAUCCAUAAAUAUGAAUUCAUACAUCCUUAGCUUGCUUUGCUAUACAGUAACUGCUGGAUUUGACCUUGCUAUCCUUGAUCUAGUGUGCCUAAUUGUCUAGGUUUUGGGUUCAUUUCAGUUAAGUUUCAUGCAACAACCAGUAGAACCAAAAUCUGAACUGACAAACCAACUGUUUCGUGAAACUUAAUAUGGUAUCAGGGCCAAGAGGUUGUGGGUUCAAGUCUCAGCGUUGGCCAUCUAAAUAAGAAAAUUAUUUUCCCCUCCUUCUGUCCAUGGUUAGGCCAAUCUUCUCACAUCAAUUGGGACUAUCGGUUCUACUGGGUGGUGCAUGAAAAUUGAUAAUUCCAAUGGUCCUUCAACAUCUAGACAUCGUUAAGCAUGGAACAAUCCUGUUAGGAAAAAGGUGGCCGCUAGGCGCUAGUCGGAUGUACCGAUUAAAACAUCAGCCUCCUUUCCCACCGUUCGACCAGUCUUGAUCUAAACGUUCCUACCCGCUGAUAGUUAAAGCGAACGAACGCUUCGCAAUGAAACACGUGAAGCACGCAACAUGUUUGCUUCUUUUUCCCCGUGGCACCGGAGGUGCUCCAGCAGCAUCGGUGUCAUGUCAGCACCAGACACAACAUCGCCAUUGCCUGGGCGAACCACGCCGACGAGACCUUGCAGCACCGCCGCUGACUGAAUCACAUGAUCUUCGCUACAGUUCCCUCCGUCGCCUUGUCACGGCAACCUGCUCCCGGUCAUAGCC
Molecule: long non-coding RNA, 1146 nt
Filed under: Hordeum vulgare
Lineage: Eukaryota; Viridiplantae; Streptophyta; Magnoliopsida; Poales; Poaceae
Description: long non-coding RNA (HVUL_LNC012053)
Source: RNAcentral